UGUUUCGGCUAGGGGGUCAUCCCGACUUACCAACCCGAUGCAAACUGCGAAUACCGAAGAAUGUUAUCACGGGAGACACACGGCGGGUGCUAACGUCCGUCGUGAAGAGGGAAACAACCCAGACCGCCAGCUAAGGUCCCAAAGUCAUGGUUAAGUGGGAAACGAUGUGGGAAGGCACAGACAGCCAGGAUGUUGGCUUAGAAGCAGCCAUCAUUUAAAGAAAGCGUAAUAGCUCACUGGUCGAGUCGGCCUGCGCGGAAGAUGUAACGGGGCUAAACCAUGCACCGAAGCUGCGGCAGCGACACUAUGUGUUGUUGGGUAGGGGAGCGUUCUGUAAGCCGUUGAAGGUGUAUCGUGAGGUAUGCUGGAGGUAUCAGAAGUGCGAAUGCUGACAUAAGUAACGAUAAUGCGGGUGAAAAACCCGCACGCCGGAAGACCAAGGGUUCCUGUCCAACGUUAAUCGGGGCAGGGUGAGUCGACCCCUAAGGCGAGGCCGAAAGGCGUAGUCGAUGGGAAACAGGUUAAUAUUCCUGUACUUGGUGUUACUGCGAAGGGGGGACGGAGAAGGCUAUGUUAGCCGGGCGACGGUUGUCCCGGUUUAAGCAUGUAGGCGGAGGUUCCAGGUAAAUCCGGUACCUUUUUAACGCUGAGGUGUGAUGACGAGGCACUACGGUGCUGAAGUAACAAAUGCCCUGCUUCCAGGAAAAGCCUCUAAGCAUCAGGUAACACGAAAUCGUACCCCAAACCGACACAGGUGGUCAGGUAGAGAAUACCAAGGCGCUUGAGAGAACUCGGGUGAAGGAACUAGGCAAAAUGGUGCCGUAACUUCGGGAGAAGGCACGCUGAUAUGUAGGUGAAGUGAUUUACUCAUGGAGCUGAAAUCAGUCGAAGAUACCAGCUGGCUGCAACUGUUUAUUAAAAACACAGCACUGUGCAAACACGAAAGUGGACGUAUACGGUGUGACGCCUGCCCGGUGCCGGAAGGUUAAUUGAUGGGGUUAUCCGUAAGGAGAAGCUCUUGAUCGAAGCCCCGGUAAACGGCGGCCGUAACUAUAACGGUCCUAAGGUAGCGAAAUUCCUUGUCGGGUAAGUUCCGACCUGCACGAAUGGCGUAAUGAUGGCCAGGCUGUCUCCACCCGAGACUCAGUGAAAUUGAACUCGCUGUGAAGAUGCAGUGUACCCGCGGCAAGACGGAAAGACCCCGUGAACCUUUACUAUAGCUUGACACUGAACACUGGUCCUUGAUGUGUAGGAUAGGUGGGAGGCUUUGAAGUGUGGACGCCAGUCUGCAUGGAGCCAUCCUUGAAAUACCACCCUUUAAUGGCUGGUGUUCUAACGUGGACCCGUAAUCCGGGUUGCGGACAGUGUCUGGUGGGUAGUUUGACUGGGGCGGUCUCCUCCUAAAGAGUAACGGAGGAGCACGAAGGUUAGCUAAUCCUGGUCGGACAUCAGGAGGUUAGUGCAAAGGCAUAAGCUAGCUUGACUGCGAGAGUGACGGCUCGAGCAGGUGCGAAAGCAGGUCUUAGUGAUCCGGUGGUUCUGAAUGGAAGGGCCAUCGCUCAACGGAUAAAAGGUACUCCGGGGAUAACAGGCUGAUACCGCCCAAGAGUUCAUAUCGACGGCGGUGUUUGGCACCUCGAUGUCGGCUCAUCACAUCCUGGGGCUGAAGUAGGUCCCAAGGGUAUGGCUGUUCGCCAUUUAAAGUGGUACGCGAGCUGGGUUUAGAACGUCGUGAGACAGUUCGGUCCCUAUCUGCCGUGGGCGCUGGAGAAUUGAGGGGGGCUGCUCCUAGUACGAGAGGACCGGAGUGGACGCAUCACUGGUGUUCGGGUUGUCAUGCCAAUGGCAUUGCCCGGUAGCUAAAUGCGGAAGAGAUAAGUGCUGAAAGCAUCUAAGCACGAAACUUGCCCCG
RNAcentral lists this ribosomal RNA (1912 nucleotides) under Citrobacter freundii. RNAcentral describes it as "partial 23S ribosomal RNA". It matches the Rfam family "Bacterial large subunit ribosomal RNA", at positions 911 to 2801 of the family's 2925-position model. Lineage: Bacteria; Pseudomonadati; Pseudomonadota; Gammaproteobacteria; Enterobacterales; Enterobacteriaceae. The record is from RNAcentral.